AAUCAUUAGUCUUUUAAUUUGAGACCGGAAUGAAUGGUUCAACUUAUUAAUUUUGUCUCAUUUUGAUACUUUGAAUUUUAUAUUUUAGUAAAAAAGCUAAAAUUUUUUUUAAAGACGAGAAGACCCUAUCAAGCUUUAUAAUUAACUUUUAUUAUCAAAAUAAAAUUAAAAUUAUUUUACUGGGGCAGUAAAUGAAAAAUUUUCAUUUUUUUAUUAUGAUGAAUGAAUCUUGUUAAACCAAAAAUUUUUUAAAUAAUAAUAAGUUACUGUAGGGAUAACAGCAUAAUUUUUUUAAAGAGAUCUUAUCAUCAAUAAAGUUUAUGACCUCGAUGUUGGAUUAAGAGACCUAAUUUACGCAAUAGUA
This 364-nucleotide ribosomal RNA is filed under the name Alloscorpiops anthracinus. RNAcentral's name for it is "partial large subunit ribosomal RNA". Lineage: Eukaryota; Metazoa; Arthropoda; Arachnida; Scorpiones; Euscorpiidae. The record is from RNAcentral.